UGCCAGCAGCCGCGGUAAUACGUAGGUGGCAAGCGUUGUCCGGAAUUAUUGGGCGUAAAGGGCUCGCAGGCGGUUUAUUAAGUCUGAUGUGAAAGCCCCCGGCUCAACCGGGGAGGGUCAUUGGAAAUGGGAAACUUGAGUGCAGAAGAGGAGAGUGGAAUUCCACGUGUAGCGGUGAAAUGCGUAGAGAUGUGGAGGAACACCAGUGGCGAAGGCGACUCUCUGGUCUGUAACUGACGCUGAGGAGCGAAAGCUGGGGAGCGAACAGGAUUAGAUACCCUGGUAGUCCACGCCGUAAACGAUGAGUGCUAAGUGUUAGGGGGUUUCCGCCCCUUAGUGCUGCAGCUAACGCAUAAGCACUCCGCCUGGGGAGUACGGUCGAAGACUGAAACUCAAAGGAAUUGACGGGGGCCCGCACAAGCGGUGGAGCAUGUGGUUUAAUUCGAAGCAACGCGAAGAACCUUACCAGGUCUUGACAUCCUCUGACAACCCUAGAGAUAGGGCUUUCCUUCGGGGACAGAGUGACAGGUGGUGCAUGGUUGUCGUC
This 547-nucleotide ribosomal RNA is filed under the name Bacillus australimaris. RNAcentral describes it as "bacterial SSU rRNA". It matches the Rfam family "Bacterial small subunit ribosomal RNA", at positions 506 to 1056 of the family's 1533-position model. Lineage: Bacteria; Bacillati; Bacillota; Bacilli; Caryophanales; Bacillaceae. The record is from RNAcentral.